UGAGGAAUCUUCCGCAAUGGGCGAAAGCCUGACGGAGCAACGCCGCGUGAAUGAAGAAGGCCUUCGGGUCGUAAAGUUCUGUCUUUUAGGAAGGAGGCCCAAGAUGCAAAUAGUGUUUUGGGAUGACAGUACUAGAGGAGGAAGCUCCGGCUAACUCCGUGCCAGCAGCCGCGGUAAUACGGGGGGAGCAAGCGUUGUUCGGAUUUACUGGGCGUAAAGGGCGUCUAGGCGGAGUAAUAAGUCAGAUGUGAAAUCCCCCGGCUCAACCGAGGUGUUGCAUUUGAUACUAUUACCCUUGAGUACGAGAGAGGAAAGCGGAAUUCCAGGUGUAGCGGUGAAAUGCGUAGAUAUCUGGAAGAACACCAGUGGCGAAGGCGGCUUUCUGGCUCGUUACUGACGCCGAAGCGCGAAAGUGUGGGGAGCAAACA
RNAcentral lists this ribosomal RNA (428 nucleotides) under uncultured prokaryote. Its description in RNAcentral is "bacterial SSU rRNA". It matches the Rfam family "Bacterial small subunit ribosomal RNA", at positions 355 to 774 of the family's 1533-position model. The record is from RNAcentral.